AUGAUGGUCCAGCAGGAGUACGGCCCUCAGGCAGCUAGGGAGACCAAGAUAUGCAAAGCUUUGCUACAAGUGAGUUUCCAGAUGAGCAACAGAGCUCAAAACUCCAGACUCUCAGCCUGCAACUCACCACCCCCAGCCAAAGCCAGCCACUUUUCAGGACUGAUCAGCCUCCCGAAGGGCCACUGGAGCACACAGUGGACAGAUGUAGAUGGUCUGAGACUAAAAAGAAAAGUAACCUCGGAGCAAGGGGGGACUUCACUUCAGCAUGAUCCAGAGUGUGGGGGAGCCGUGGCAGGUUGGCGUUUCAGGCUUAAGACUUUGCUUGUAUCUAUCUGGAAAAUGGAUACUGGGGGCCAGCUGGCCAGUCUCUGCUCUGGCGGUGUGCAGACUCAAUCUUAG
Long non-coding RNA from Bos indicus x Bos taurus (hybrid cattle), 399 nucleotides. The record is from Ensembl. Lineage: Eukaryota; Metazoa; Chordata; Mammalia; Artiodactyla; Bovidae.